Molecule: ribosomal RNA, 468 nt
Filed under: uncultured bacterium
Lineage: Bacteria
Description: partial 16S ribosomal RNA
Rfam family: Bacterial small subunit ribosomal RNA
Source: RNAcentral
GACGAACGCUGGCGGCGUGCUUAACACAUGCAAGUCGAACGGAAAGGCCCUGCUUUUGUGGGGUGCUCGAGUGGCGAACGGGUGAGUAACACGUGAGUAACCUGCCCUUGACUUUGGGAUAACUUCAGGAAACUGGGGCUAAUACCGGAUAGGAGCUCCUGCUGCAUGGUGGGGGUUGGAAAGUUUCGGCGGUUGUGGAUGGACUCGCGGCUUAUCAGCUUGUUGGUGGGGUAGUGGCUUACCAAGGCUUUGACGGGUAGCCGGCCUGAGAGGGUGACCGGCCACAUUGGGACUGAGAUACGGCCCAGACUCCUACGGGAGGCAGCAGUGGGGAAUAUUGCACAAUGGGCGGAAGCCUGAUGCAGCAACGCCGCGUGCGGGAUGACGGCCUUCGGGUUGUAAGCCGCUUUCGCCUGUGACGAAGCGUGAGUGACGGUAAUGGGUAAAGAAGCACCGGCUAACUACGUG